AGAACGAACGCUGGCGGCAUGCCUAAUACAUGCAAGUCGAACGAACUCUUCGGAGUUAGUGGCGCACGGGUGCGUAACGCGUGGGAAUCUGCCCCUUGGUUCGGAAUAACAGUUGGAAACGACUGCUAAUACCGGAUGAUGACGAAAGUCCAAAGAUUUAUCGCCCAGGGAUGAGCCCGCGUAGGAUUAGCUAGUUGGUGAGGUAAAGGCUCACCAAGGCGACGAUCCUUAGCUGGUCUGAGAGGAUGAUCAGCCACACUGGGACUGAGACACGGCCCAGACUCCUACGGGAGGCAGCAGUAGGGAAUAUUGGACAAUGGGCGCAAGCCUGAUCCAGCAAUGCCGCGUGAGUGAUGAAGGCCUUAGGGUUGUAAAGCUCUUUUACCCGAGAUGAUAAUGACAGUAUCGGAGAAUAAGCCCCGGAUAACUCCGCGCCAGCAGCCGC
RNAcentral lists this ribosomal RNA (445 nucleotides) under uncultured soil bacterium. RNAcentral's name for it is "bacterial SSU rRNA". It matches the Rfam family "Bacterial small subunit ribosomal RNA", at positions 26 to 518 of the family's 1533-position model. The record is from RNAcentral.